This is a non-coding RNA of Equus caballus (horse), 1387 nucleotides long. The record is from RefSeq and is a predicted model, not a curated record. Lineage: Eukaryota; Metazoa; Chordata; Mammalia; Perissodactyla; Equidae.
ACCUACUUCUCAGGCCUAUUUUUAAACUUUACUUGCUCUCAUAAGAGAACACAUUAAGCACAUAAUGAAAGAAUAUCGGACUGGAUGCUUUGAGUUGAUUUUUUAAAUGCAGCUUUUAUUGUACAAGGAAGCUUUGUUUAUUAGAUUAGCAAAUAUCUGGUGCUUUUGGACUUAAUAAACUUGCCUUAUUCCUCCUUCCUGUAGGUUGACACUUUAAAUUAUUAUUUAAAUUAUUUGUUCAUAAAACAUUGUUCAUAUAUUAGAAAAAAUCAAUUGAAUUUUCUCUGUUCUCCUUUCUUGCCUUAUGUACCCUUAUUUUACUUGUAGAUGAAAAACUUUUAAGUGUAGAAUAAACCCGUAAUACUCUGUCAGAAAUCCAAGAUGCGGAGUUUCUCAAGUUUUAACUAGUUUUGGCACACUUUUAAAAUGCUCUGCAGUAUGUUAGCUAAACUUAUGUUACCAGCUGAUAUCUGCUGCCUGUGUAUAUAUUUAGUAGAGUAUUAAUAAAUACCAUUCUUCAUGAGUUAAAUCUUCGUUUUCAGAUCUUGAGUCUUCACAGAGUAGUUGGUCUACCAGUUACUCUCCAAGGCCCACAGAUAGUUGUUUCAGUUCUAGUUCAGAGAUGCUGUCUGAAGAUGAAGAUCAAAUAUUGCAGCAAAUUGAAGAUUCAAAUGGGAGAUCCAUCAAAACCAAAGAAACAACUAACAGUUUUUAUUUAGAAAGGAUGGCAAAACUUCCACAUGAUAGGAUUGCUAAAAACAAUGCCAAAAUUCAUUAACAAAAUGAGAAUUUUCACCAGUUCUCACUUAAAGAUAAGACAGAUCAGUUUCCACAGUCUCAGUGUGAUUCAGCACACAUUGUGCAAGACAAAAGCAGUAAUUGCACUGUACAAGUUGCAAGAUGUGAUGCAUGGGUACAAACUGAGAGUGAACCUGUAAUGAAAGAAAAGUUAGAUGCUGCCAUACAGUGUGAUAUAAUUUCAAAAUGUAAAUGUAUAAGUGAUGUGUCUUCUCUUUGUAAUGUUGAAAGGUGCAGUGAAAAUAUUAAGGCAGAUACCACUGGAGGGCAGGAAAUCCUUAAGAACAACUAAUAUGCUAAGAUAGCCUGAGAUUUAGCAUUUCACUUAAUGUUCAGAAUUUCAUUAACAUAAUAAGGAAUGAGAAAAUGCAGCUAAGCACAAGGUGGAAGUAGUCACAAGAUAUAUUUAUGGUUUAUUUUUAAACAUUUUAAUAUUAUUAAUUUAUGCAUUUGCUUUGCAUAGAUAUUUCUUUAGUAUCUUCAAGUUUUUAGAAAAUAAUAUAUAUGUAAAUUUACUAUCAUUCUUAUGGUGAUUAUUCAUUGUAUUAUGAUAUGCUGCUGUUUGUGGAUUAAAAAUAUGUUUACUUGC